GGAAAGUAGCCGAAUACGGUUCGUCGGGCCAGUUUGCUAAACUGUGCGGUCGCAAGGCCAUGUGGGUUCAAAUCCCAUGCUUUCCGC
This 87-nucleotide transfer RNA is filed under the name Mariniblastus fucicola. RNAcentral's name for it is "tRNA-Ser". It matches the Rfam family "tRNA". Rfam says of the family: Transfer RNA (tRNA) molecules are approximately 80 nucleotides in length. Their secondary structure includes four short double-helical elements and three loops (D, anti-codon, and T loops). The record is from RNAcentral. Lineage: Bacteria; Pseudomonadati; Planctomycetota; Planctomycetia; Pirellulales; Pirellulaceae.